This 309-nucleotide ribosomal RNA is filed under the name uncultured bacterium. Its description in RNAcentral is "partial 16S ribosomal RNA". It matches the Rfam family "Bacterial small subunit ribosomal RNA", at positions 504 to 807 of the family's 1533-position model. The record is from RNAcentral.
AGAGACAGCAGUAGCCGCGGUAAUACGAAGGGGGCUAGCGUUGCUCGGAAUGACUGGGCGUAAAGGGCGCGUAGGCGGAUGGCACAGUCAGAUGUGAAAUUCCCGGGCUUAACCUGGGGGCUGCAUUUGAUACGUGUUGUCUAGAGUGAGGAAGAGGGUCGUGGAAUUCCCAGUGUAGAGGUGAAAUUCGUAGAUAUUGGGAAGAACACCGGUGGCGAAGGCGGCGACCUGGUCCUUUACUGACGCUGAGGCGCGAAAGCGUGGGGAGCAAACAGGAUUAGAUACCCCCGUAGUCCCUGUCUCUUAUAC